Long non-coding RNA from Pleuronectes platessa (European plaice), 1972 nucleotides. RefSeq lists it as uncharacterized. The record is from RefSeq and is a predicted model, not a curated record. The transcript has 3 exons. Lineage: Eukaryota; Metazoa; Chordata; Actinopteri; Pleuronectiformes; Pleuronectidae.
UUUUUCUAUGUGUUACAGUUUGAUUCACUACUCGUAGGGCCUUCAUUAAAUCAACGUAAAAAUUUGAUGCAUGUGUUCAAAACAAGAUGAAGAUCUAAAGUUAACGAAAUUGCAACUUUUCAUAAUACUGUGUGACCGUGGUGUGGCUUCCAGUUUGAGGAAUGAAAACAUCUAUAUCUGGCAGAUGUGCUGCAAUAUUUAGUCACUAGAUGGCAGUGUCAGACCAUGCUUUGUGUUAUCUAUGCAUUAACAGACUGUGUUUACAGGGUGGCCAACUUUAGAGGAGAAUUAAACCUUUUACAGCAUUGCUCAAACUUUGGUUUUAGUCUCAAUCGCUAAGUUCUUCCUUCAUGACAACUCUGAGGGGGGUGUAUUUUAUUUUAACUCCCUCGUUUAAGCGAUAUAGAUGUUUGAAAUUCACGUGACGUCACAGUGUAAGCUGUGCUGUGUGUUGUGAGUUCGGCUUUCACCAGUUACACGUGAACGCCUCAUGAAAUGGCUUACACCCACAUACCCGGUAAAUUACACACUUUGAUGUUCUGCUCCUUCUCCUGACGGUCACGGUAACGAUGUCUGCGCCUCCGUUUCUGUGGAUGUCCAGCGUGAGACACAACUUGAAUCCAACCAGACUGAACACUGACUCCAGGGACGGACGAGCCUGAAGGACACAGCUGUGAUGACCAAUUGACCAUGUUUUGUCUCUUAUGGCAAAGCACAAAUAUUAAACACUGGGUUCUUAUCUAAAGUGUAUCAAAUCAGAAAGCAAAAGAUACACAUUGUUGUUAUAAGUUUUUAUUAUUUUAACCAACCAUAAUGAAGAUAGAAAUGAAUUCUUAUCCAUGCCACUUAGCAAUGACUGCCACCACCAAACAGUUGCAGGCCAUCUUUAUUUAAGGGAGGAAUUUAGAAGUGUUGUGUAGCUUCUGAUGAUGAUGCAGUCGUCCACGUGUUGACCACCAUGUUGCUGCUGACGACGUCAGGUGCUGCAGUUCCUCAUCUAUGAAGAGAAGAAACGCACUGUUAAAGAAUGUUUUGAGUUGUGUAUGAAGCACAACAGAUUUCAGAUAGAACCGUUGUACUGUGGUCUGGGUUUGUAUCCUAAUGGUUAAAUGCACAUAUUUUAAGUCGCUUUUGAUAAAAGUACUGAAAGAAAUACAACAUUGUAAAAAUAGAUAAAAUGUCUUUUUACCUCAUCUGUAAUAUUCAAGGUGAUAAUCUCCCACAGAGCUAUUGAUAACAGUCCACAUCAAGUCUCUCCACUUCCCUCAGUGUGAAAACAUAAUUAUAUAAUUAAUUUGAGAACUGUUUACAACACUGAUGUGUGGAGAUUAAAAUCAUAUCUAAACUGUCUAAUUCACUGUAAAACUCCAUGACAUUCGCAGGCCAUCUGUAGUUAAGGGAGCAACGUAUGGAGUGAUGUGUAAAGGGCAGAAACUUGGACUAUGGGCAGAGAAGGUCUCUGGUUCGUCUCCGGUUCGACUCCACGGAGAGACAACAAAAGACAAACCUGGAUUGAUCUGUCCAAAAAUCCAAGAGUCUCCCUACCCUCUCUAGUGCCCCUGAGCAAGGCACCUCACUCCCCCAACAUCUGCUCCGUGAGCGCCGUACAUGGUCGCUCACUGCUCUGUGUGUCCUGCACCAGAUGGGUAAAAAGCAGAGAUUAAAUUUCCCUACCUGCAUGAGUGUGCCUUUGCAUGUCUGUGCAUGUGUUUGGGACGAAUAAAUGGAUCUUAAUCUUAAUCUUUUAAUCUUAAUCAGUUGUCUUCCAGUUGACCAGCAUGAAGCUGCAAAUCUCCACCAUGUUGCUGCUGAGGACAUCAGGAGCUGCAUUAAUGAGGAGCAGAAGCGCACUGUUAUGAAUGUUUUGUGUUGUGUAUGAAGCACCACAUAUUUCAGAUAGAACCGAUGUACUGGGGUCUGGGUUUGUAUACUAAUGGUUAAAUGCACAUACUUUAAAUCGCUUUUGAUAAAA